CCUUCAACCCCAUCUUCUCUUCUUUUUGCCUAACAUAAUGUUUUUGAAGUUCAUCCAUGUUGUUGCAGUUCUAAGACAGAGCUUUUGUUAGAGACAUAGCUCCAGCCCAUCCACAGAAGUACCACUGACUGACCACAGACCACAGAUUGUUGGCUUCAGAACCACCAGCCACAGAAAGAGCUAAACUGACUUCCCUGCAUCCAACCAGGGGAAGAAUGACAAAUAACAAGGAAAAGAGCAACUAACACAAUGAUUUCAGACAGCAGUGAAGAAGACAGAGCAGGGUGACAUGACAGGAAGUGAUGGUGAAAAGGGAAAGUUACCACCUGGGACUGGAUAAGGUUACCACAUGUGGACGGACCUUUGGGUUGAUCUACCAGUUAUGAGAAGGGAAGAGAAUCUAGAGAAGAAGAACCUAGAGAAGGGCAGAUUGACCCCUGGAGUGAGCACCUUUUGGCCCAAGCAAGCUCAGUACUUCUGUGGAGCAGG
This is a long non-coding RNA of Heterocephalus glaber (naked mole-rat), 489 nucleotides long. The record is from Ensembl. Lineage: Eukaryota; Metazoa; Chordata; Mammalia; Rodentia; Bathyergidae.